RNAcentral lists this ribosomal RNA (293 nucleotides) under uncultured eukaryote. Its description in RNAcentral is "partial 18S ribosomal RNA". It matches the Rfam family "Eukaryotic small subunit ribosomal RNA", at positions 6 to 310 of the family's 1831-position model. The record is from RNAcentral.
GGUUGAUCCUGCCAGUAGUCAUAUGCUUGUCUCAAAGAUUAAGCCAUGCAUGUCUAAGUAUAAGCUUUUAUACAGCGAAACUGCGAAUGGCUCAUUAGAACAGUUAUAAUUUAAUUGAUAGUACCUUACUACAUGGAUAACCGUGGUAAUUCUAGAGCUAAUACAUGCACGAAAACCCUCCGGGGUUGUAUUUAUUAGGUAAAACCAACAGCUCGCACGCGAGUUUGGGUGAUUCAUGAUAACUUGGCGGAUCGUAUGGCCUUGCGCCGACGACGUAUCAUUCAAAUUUCUGG